ACGGGUGAGUAACACGUGAGCAAUCUGCCCAUCACAUCGGGAUAACUCCGGGAAACCGAAGCUAAUACCGAAUACGACCACUCCCGGCAUCGGGUGGUGGUGGAAAGUUCCGGCGGUGAUGGAUGAGCUCGCGGCCUAUCAGCUUGUUGGUGGGGUAAUGGCCCACCAAGGCAACGACGGGUAGCCGGCCUGAGAGGGUGACCGGCCACACUGGGACUGAGACACGGCCCAGACUCCUACGGGAGGCAGCAGUGGGGAAUAUUGGACAAUGGGCGAAAGCCUGAUCCAGCAACGCCGCGUGAGGGAUGACGGCCUUCGGGUUGUAAACCUCUUUCAGCAGGGACGAAGCGAAAGUGACGGUACCUGCAGAAGAAGCACCGGCCAACUACGUGCCAGCAGCCGCGGUAAUACGUAGGGUGCGAGCGUUGUCCGGAAUUAUUGGGCGUAAAGGGCUCGUAGGCGGUUUGUCACGUCGGGAGUGAAAACUCAGGGCUUAACCCUGAGCCUGCUUCCGAUACGGGCAGACUAGAGGUAUGCAGGGGAGAACGGAAUUCCUGGUGUAGCGGUGAAAUGCGCAGA
This 579-nucleotide ribosomal RNA is filed under the name uncultured bacterium. RNAcentral describes it as "bacterial SSU rRNA". It matches the Rfam family "Bacterial small subunit ribosomal RNA", at positions 102 to 694 of the family's 1533-position model. The record is from RNAcentral.